UACGGGGGGAGCAAGCGUUGUUCGGAAUCACUGGGCGUAAAGGGCGCGUAGGCGGCCUCAGGUGUCGGAUGUGAAAGCCCGGGGCUCAACCCCGGAGGUGCAUCCGAAACUCUGGGGCUGGAGGUCGGAAGAGGAGGGUGGAAUACCCAGUGUAGAGGUGAAAUUCGUAGAUAUUGGGUGGAACACCGGUGGCGAAAGCGGCUCUCUGGUCCGGACCUGACGCUGAGGCGCGAAAGCGUGGGGAGCAAACAGG
This 253-nucleotide ribosomal RNA is filed under the name uncultured bacterium. Its description in RNAcentral is "partial 16S ribosomal RNA". It matches the Rfam family "Bacterial small subunit ribosomal RNA", at positions 524 to 776 of the family's 1533-position model. The record is from RNAcentral.